Molecule: long non-coding RNA, 268 nt
Organism: Pogoniulus pusillus (Red-fronted tinkerbird)
Lineage: Eukaryota; Metazoa; Chordata; Aves; Piciformes; Lybiidae
Exons: 2
Source: RefSeq, a predicted model, not a curated record
UUUAUGCCAAGAAGAGCUGCAGAUACAUAAGGAGCAGAACACAACUCCACAAGAAACCAUCAAGAGGUAGAACCAAGCCACUUGAGAAAGCAACAGCAAUUCCAAACAGGAAAAAACACAGCUUAAAAUGUACAUGGUUAUAGCAGGAGCAGCUACCAAGGCAGCAGAUGGGUCUAAAAGUGUUUGAAGAACUACAGCAGAGUUGAGUAAUGGCAGCAGAAUGUUCAGAAGGAGACCUCAAGUGACUGCUUCAGCCCAGCACACUUUG